Molecule: ribosomal RNA, 497 nt
Filed under: uncultured bacterium
Lineage: Bacteria
Description: partial 16S ribosomal RNA
Rfam family: Bacterial small subunit ribosomal RNA
Source: RNAcentral
GAUGAACGCUGGCGGCGUGCCUAAUACAUGCAAGUAGAACGCUGAAGGAAGGAGCUUGCUCUUUCCGGAUGAGUUGCGAACGGGUGAGUAACGCGUAGGUAACCUGCCUGGUAGCGGGGGAUAACUAUUGGAAACGAUAGCUAAUACCGCAUAACAGUAGAUGUUGCAUGAUAUCUACUUAAAAGGUGCAAUUGCACCACUACCAGAUGGACCUGCGUUGUAUUAGCUAGUUGGUGAGGUAACAGCUCACCAAGGCGACGAUACAUAGCCGACCUGAGAGGGUGAUCGGCCACACUGGGACUGAGACACGGCCCAGACUCCUACGGGAGGCAGCAGUAGGGAAUCUUCGGCAAUGGACGGAAGUCUGACCGAGCAACGCCGCGUGAGUGAAGAAGGUUUUCGGAUCGUAAAGCUCUGUUGUAAGAGAAGAACGAGUGUGAGAGUGGGAAGUUCACACUGUGACGGUAUCUUACCAGAAAGGGACGGCUAACUACGUG